This 465-nucleotide ribosomal RNA is filed under the name Vreelandella stevensii. RNAcentral describes it as "partial 16S ribosomal RNA". It matches the Rfam family "Bacterial small subunit ribosomal RNA", at positions 338 to 795 of the family's 1533-position model. The record is from RNAcentral. Lineage: Bacteria; Pseudomonadati; Pseudomonadota; Gammaproteobacteria; Oceanospirillales; Halomonadaceae.
CCUACGGGUGGCUGCAGUGGGGAAUAUUGGACAAUGGGGGGAACCCUGAUCCAGCCAUGCCGCGUGUGUGAAGAAGGCCCUCGGGUUGUAAAGCACUUUCAGUGAGGAAGAACACCUGGUGGUUAAUACCCAUCAGGAAAGACAUCACUCACAGAAGAAGCACCGGCUAACUCCGUGCCAGCAGCCGCGGUAAUACGGAGGGUGCGAGCGUUAAUCGGAAUUACUGGGCGUAAAGCGCGCGUAGGUGGCUUGAUAAGCCGGUUGUGAAAGCCCCGGGCUCAACCUGGGAACGGCAUCCGGAACUGUCAAGCUAGAGUGCAGGAGAGGAAGGUAGAAUUCCCGGUGUAGCGGUGAAAUGCGUAGAGAUCGGGAGGAAUACCAGUGGCGAAGGCGGCCUUCUGGACUGACACUGACACUGAGGUGCGAAAGCGUGGGUAGCAAACAGGAUUAGAUACCCGUGUAGUC